GUGCUUGCUUCGGCAGCACAUAUAGUAAUAUUGGGACGAUACACAGAAGAUUAGCGUGGCCCCUGCGCAAGCAUGACAGGCAAAUUGGUGAAGCAUUCCAUAUUUUU
This is a small nuclear RNA of Loxodonta africana (African savanna elephant), 107 nucleotides long. Lineage: Eukaryota; Metazoa; Chordata; Mammalia; Proboscidea; Elephantidae. The record is from Ensembl.